UACUAUCUUCAAAGGCUUUUGUUGUUGC
RNAcentral lists this non-coding RNA (28 nucleotides) under Rattus norvegicus (Norway rat). Lineage: Eukaryota; Metazoa; Chordata; Mammalia; Rodentia; Muridae. The record is from RNAcentral.